CAAAUGAAUUGACGGGACCCGCACAAGCGGUGGAUGAUGUGGUUUAAUUCGAUGCAACGCGAAAAACCUUACCCACCUUUGACAUGUACGGAAUCCUUUAGAGAUAGAGGGGUGCUCGAAAGAGAGCCGUAACACAGGUGCUGCAUGGCUGUCGUCAGCUCGUGUCGUGAGAUGUUGGGUUAAGUCCCGCAACGAGCGCAACCCUUGUCAUUAGUUGCUACAUUUGGUUGGGCACUCUAAUGAGACUGCCGGUGACAAGCCGGAGGAAGGUGGGGAUGACGUCAAGUCCUCAUGGCCCUUAUAGGUGGGGCUACACACGUCAUACAAUGGCUGGUACAAAGGGUUGCCAACCCGCGAGGGGGAGCUAAUCCCACAAAGCCAGUCGUAGUCCGGAUCGUAGUCUGCAACUCGACUACGUGAAGUCGGAAUCGCUAGUAAUCGUGGAUCAGAAUGUCACGGUGAAUACGUUCCCGGGUCUU
Molecule: ribosomal RNA, 479 nt
Filed under: uncultured Rhodoferax sp.
Lineage: Bacteria; Pseudomonadati; Pseudomonadota; Betaproteobacteria; Burkholderiales; Comamonadaceae
Description: bacterial SSU rRNA
Rfam family: Bacterial small subunit ribosomal RNA
Source: RNAcentral